GGUUGACUUAGGGCUUAUACUGCAUAUGUUUAACUUAUAUAAGUCUACCAUCAAGAAAUAUUAUACCUAUCCACAUAUUGUAUAAGAAUCUCACUACAGUACACUUUCAUUUUUCCUUUCCGGUCUUUGUGUAAUCGUCAUACAUUUUGAUUCUGCUUAUAUUAUAAACCCCAAAACAUAUUUUUAUUGUCUUUGCUUUAAACAAUUCCCUCUUAAAAGAUGUUUAAAAAGUAAGCAAAAAUGUACCAGAUUUUUAUCUACAUAUUUAAUGUUUCUCAUUCCCUUCAUUCCUUUGUGUAAACUCAGAGUUCCAGCUGAUAUCAUUAUCCUUUGUCUGAAGGACUUCCUUUAACAUUUCUUGUAGUACAAAUUUGCUGGUGAUGAACACUUUGAAGAUGAUUACUGUUUUCUGGCUGUGUCUUUUCAAAUGAGAAAUUAGCUAUCUUUCUUACUUUGUUUCUCUAUUUUCUUGGUGUUUCUAAGAUCCUCUCAUUAUCAUCGGUUUUAAGCAAUUUCACUUUGAUGUGCCUUUUGUUUUUCAUCAUUCUGUUGUUAUUCUUCAGGUUUGUUGAAUUGUUUGGAUCUGUUAGUUUAUAAUGUUUAUCCAAUUUGGAUAAUUUCAGUCAUUGUUCCUUCAACGUUUUUCUCUUUUUCCCUCUCCCAUGUGGUCUCAAAUUACAUGUAUACCUGGCUACUUGGCUUGUCUCACAGCUGUUGUUUCUUCUCAAACAAGUGUCAAUUUGUGAGUUUCAAUUUUGAUGGUUUCUCUUCCAAUGUUUUCAGGUUCACUAAUCUUUUCUUCUGCAGGGUCUAAUCUGAUAUUAAUUUCAUCUUUUCAUUUUUUGUAUUUUUCUUCUUGGAUAUUGUACUUUUUAUCUCUAGGACUUUGGGUUGUUGUGACAUUUUCUAUAUCUCUGCUUAACAUGCUCAGUCUUUCUUCUACCCUCUUGAACAUAUAUAAUAUAGCAAUGAUUAUCUCUGUCAUUCAUGUGUCUGUUCCUAGUUUUUUCCUCCUCAUUAUGGGUCAUAUUUUCCUGGCCUUUUUUAGGUUUCUCACAUGCAUACACUGAUCAGCACUUAGUUGAAGACUCAAGAGGGGCCCUCCACAGGUAUCUCUCUCUCUCUCUUUUCCUGUCUCUCUACUCUAGGAUUCUGCCAUAUGAACUCUAGUUGCUUUGGCCUUUUAUAUCUUUCAACUCUGUACUCACUCAGGACAACUGUAUCCAUUCCUUUUCCAUGUUCUACAGCCUGGGAAUGUUCUUUUGUUAGUAAGUUGCAGCAACUGUAGAAUUCACUUCAUUCCUCCUCUCUCAGGGAUCACUGUGCUGCACUGCUUGAAAACCAUUUUUACAUAUAUUUUUUUGGUUGCUUCAGAUAAGAGGGUAAAUAUGACAUAAAAAACAAAUUCCCCACUCACUUUUAAGUGUCUUACCUAUUGUUUUCUUUCAUUUUCAAGGAGCGUUUUCUGUAUUUUCUUCAAUAAAUGAGAGCGUCCCCUUUCUGGGGUGCUUUUAUUUCCAACUUUCUCUUCUCUGCAGUUUUUAUUCUCUCCAUACUCUGCCUUGCUCUUCACAAAGUGUUGAAGUGAAAAUAAAGAAAUAUUUUGGCUUUAAAUGCUAUUUUUUUUUCUACUGCAGACAAUUCAAAAUUUCUAGAAUUUUCUGUCUUUUAGUUAUGUUGAAUGCACUGGGUUCAUAUGCUUUUCUUUACUCUUCUUGUUCUGUAUAGUUUUGGAGGAUGUGUUGGAACACCAAGUUUUGUGUGAAACUAAUACCUCAGCUACUCUAGAAAUCUUCAUAACAUUUUAAAUUAAGUAACUACAGAAGCAAUAUAAAAGACAGAGAGAGUGCAACAUAUUUGUUCAGUGACGAAAAAAAUGUCCUCAAGUGUCUGGGAAUUCUAGAAUGAUUAAAUAUUCAAUUAAAGGAAUUUAACACAUACAAUUUCAUAGUUCUAUAUUUUAAUUUCAAAGCCAACCAUAUGUAUAUUAAAGGGGGGAGACAUGGCUAAAAAAGAAAAACCCACCUAAAAGAACAGUUAUAGGCUUUAUUUGACUACAACCUUAUGCAAAAUGACUGG
This 2079-nucleotide long non-coding RNA is filed under the name Equus caballus (horse). RNAcentral's name for it is "lncRNA (ENSECAG00000050213.1)". Lineage: Eukaryota; Metazoa; Chordata; Mammalia; Perissodactyla; Equidae. The record is from RNAcentral.